GAUGAAGAACGUAGCGAAAUGCGAUACGUAAUGUGAAUUGCAAAUUCAGUGAAUCAUCGAGUCUUUGAACGCACAUUGCGCCCCUCGGUAUUCCGUGGGGCAUGCCUGUUCGAGCGUCAUUUACCCCUCAAGCACUGCUUGGUGUUGGGCGUCUGUCCCGCUUCGCGCGCGGACUCGCCCCAAAGGUAUUGGCAGCGGUCGUGCCAGCUUCUCGCGCAGCACAUUGCGCUUCUCGAGGAGGUCGAUCGGCGUCCACGAAGCUCACCUCCACCGUUUGACCUCGGAUCAGGUAGGGAUACCCGCUGAACUUAAGCAUAUCAAUAAGCGGAGGA
This 332-nucleotide unclassified non-coding RNA is filed under the name soil metagenome. RNAcentral describes it as "partial contains 5.8S ribosomal RNA, internal transcribed spacer 2, and large subunit ribosomal RNA". The stretch from base 1 to 119 matches the Rfam family "5.8S ribosomal RNA", at positions 35 to 154 of the family's 154-position model. The record is from RNAcentral.